GCACCACAAGCGCGUGGAGCAUGUGGCUUAAUUUGACUCAACGCGGGAAAUCUUACCGGGUCCGGACAUAUCGAGGAUUGACAGACAGUUACCAUGCCCUUUCGAAAGGAGUCAGGUUUUAAACCUAAUGGCUCUUUCAUGAUUAUAUGAUAGGUGGUGCAUGGCCGUUCUUAGUUCGUGGAGUGAUCUGUCUGCUUAAUUGCGUUUCAAAUUUUUAUUUGAGGACCAGGUUUUGGUUUGGGUAGUGGUCCUACGAUGACUGUGAACUGUCAUGUCUUCGGAUGUGCGACUAUCGGUCUAGGAUCGCAUCUCAGCCCCUGGGACUCUUUUGAACGCAACGGACGUGAUUGCAACCCCUUGUUGAGAUUAGAGGAGUCUCGAUAUUCAUUGGCCAAACUUACCGCUUCGAGCUUGCUCGUGCAGUUUUGUUAGCCGGUGGAUAAACUCGGGGGACUGCUGACUAUAACCAUUUCUCAAAACAGAGGAAGGUUGCGGCAAUAACAGGUCUGUGAUGCCCUUAGAUGUCCCGGGCUGCACACGUGCUACAAUGAGUGGCGCAAUGUGUGCAAUUUUGUAAGGGAUAAGAGUGUGGUCAGUAUGCCGUCGGGGAUUCCCCCUGACGUCUCCUAGCACACGAUUAUCAGCCUUUCCUUAACAGGGCGGGUAACCUUUUCAAAAUACCAGUUUGAUUUUAAAGC
Molecule: ribosomal RNA, 698 nt
Filed under: Globigerinoides ruber ruber
Lineage: Eukaryota; Foraminifera; Rotaliida; Globigerinidae
Description: SSU rRNA
Rfam family: Eukaryotic small subunit ribosomal RNA
Source: RNAcentral